This 499-nucleotide long non-coding RNA is filed under the name Elaeis guineensis (African oil palm). RNAcentral's name for it is "long non-coding RNA (EGUI_LNC050819)". Lineage: Eukaryota; Viridiplantae; Streptophyta; Magnoliopsida; Arecales; Arecaceae. The record is from RNAcentral.
GGGUCAGUUUGCAUUAAGGAAUCACCAACUAGAACACAUGGAGAAGGAUAACCAUUGGGAGCCUUAGACUCCAGUCCCAUAGACCCAGUCAAAAGUAAAUUUGAAUUUGAACCUCAAGCCAUGGAGAAGGGUGCAGCAGUCAAGAGGGACAAAGCUAGUUUGAGUAGGUUAGGGGGGAUGUAGAUGGUAGGAUUUCCACUAGGCUGAGUGAUCGUACGUCACACAUCAAUGAGAAACCAAGGACAAGACAAAUAGGCCGAUCCAAGAGAGAGAGAGAGCACCCAGGCGAGCAGGGUGCGAGCCGGUAGGAGAGUUAUGCUGGUUCGAUGAGUUUCUAUCAGAGGAGCUAUCGUGAUAGUGGUUCAGGUCAUAUGGAUUACUACGAUAAGUAGAGCCGAAUCAAAAUUUCCAUUUGGAAUCACCUAGGUCACUAGGGUCAUUGCUGAGAGAGGAAGAUUGGUCAAGGAAUGGAUUGUAAGGGAUGGAGAAGUUUACAACA